RNAcentral lists this ribosomal RNA (492 nucleotides) under uncultured bacterium. Its description in RNAcentral is "partial 16S ribosomal RNA". It matches the Rfam family "Bacterial small subunit ribosomal RNA", at positions 29 to 507 of the family's 1533-position model. The record is from RNAcentral.
AGUGAACGCUGGCGGUAGGCCUAACACAUGCAAGUCGAACGGCAGCACAGUAAGAGCUUGCUCUUACGGGUGGCGAGUGGCGGACGGGUGAGGAAUACAUCGGAAUCUACUUUUUCGUGGGGGAUAACGUAGGGAAACUUACGCUAAUACCGCAUACGACCGACGGGUGAAAGCAGGGGAUCUUCGGACCUUGCGCGAUUGAAUGAGCCGAUGUCGGAUUAGCUAGUUGGCGGGGUAAAGGCCCACCAAGGCGACGAUCCGUAGCUGGUCUGAGAGGAUGAUCAGCCACACUGGAACUGAGACACGGUCCAGACUCCUACGGGAGGCAGCAGUGGGGAAUAUUGGGCAAUGGGCGCAAGCCUGAUCCAGCCAUACCGCGUGGGUGAAGAAGGCCUUCGGGUUGUAAAGCCCUUUUGUUGGGAAAGAAAAGCAGCAGGUUAAUACCCCGCUGUUCUGACGGUACCCAAAGAAUAAGCACCGGCUAACUUCGUG